This 29-nucleotide small RNA is filed under the name Bombyx mori (domestic silkworm). RNAcentral describes it as "ovarian small RNA-21615". The record is from RNAcentral. Lineage: Eukaryota; Metazoa; Arthropoda; Insecta; Lepidoptera; Bombycidae.
UACUUCAUUGCCGAAGGUAGUGUCCCUGA